GGCCAGCAGCCGCGGUAAGACGGAGGAGGCUAGCGUUGUUCGGAAUUACUGGGCGUAAAGCGUGCGCAGGUUGUGAGUUCAGUCUGAUGUGAAAGCCCGGGGCUCAACCUCGGAUGUGCAUUAGAUACUGACUUGCUGGAGGUUGGAAGAGGAGAGUGGAAUUCCCAGUGUAGAGGUGAAAUUCGUAGAUAUUGGGAAGAACACCAGUGGCGAAGGCGGCUCUCUGGUCCACACCUGACACUCAAGCACGAAAGCGUGGGGAGCAAACAGGAUUAGAUACCCUGGUAGUCCACGCCGUAAACGAUGUGUGCUAGACGUCGGAAGGCUUGCCUUUCGGUGUCGCAGCUAACGCGAUAAGCACACCGCCUGGGGAGUACGGCCGCAAGGUUAAAACUCAAAUAAAUUGACGG
This 410-nucleotide ribosomal RNA is filed under the name uncultured bacterium. RNAcentral's name for it is "bacterial SSU rRNA". It matches the Rfam family "Bacterial small subunit ribosomal RNA", at positions 506 to 916 of the family's 1533-position model. The record is from RNAcentral.